GUGACAGCCGCCGCGGUAUACGAAGGGGGCUAGCGUUGUUCGGAAUCACUGGGCGUAAAGCGCACGUAGGCGGACUUCUAAGUCAGGGGUGAAAUCCCAGGGCUCAACCCUGGAACUGCCCUUGAUACUGGAAGUCUCGAGUCCGGGGGAGGUGAGUGGAACUCCGAGUGUAGAGGUGAAAUUCGUAGAUAUUCGGAAGAACACCAGUGGCGAAGGCGGCUCACUGGCCCGGUACUGACGCUGAGGUGCGAAAGCGUGGGGAGCAAACAGGAUUAGAAACCCGAGUAGUCC
Molecule: ribosomal RNA, 291 nt
Filed under: uncultured bacterium
Lineage: Bacteria
Description: partial 16S ribosomal RNA
Rfam family: Bacterial small subunit ribosomal RNA
Source: RNAcentral